GGAGAGAUGGCUCAGUGGUUAAGAGCACUGACUGCUCGUCCAGAGGUCCUGAGUUCAAUUCCCAGCAACCACA
RNAcentral lists this transfer RNA (73 nucleotides) under Mus musculus (house mouse). RNAcentral describes it as "tRNA-Ser". Lineage: Eukaryota; Metazoa; Chordata; Mammalia; Rodentia; Muridae. The record is from RNAcentral.